AUAGAAAUGAUGCUAUAAUGAAUAAUUAGUAUAGGAAAGCAUAGCACAAUGAAAAUAUACAAAUAUCGUUAAUGAAUAUAUAGACAAAGAUACACAUACAGCAGAAGAGAUAUCUUAACAAGGAAAAAGAAACAAUGUUUUAUAACUAGGAAAAAAAAAAUUAUAGCCAUAUAAAUAAAAUUCCCCAGCUAUGGUUUUCAAAGUUUAAGAAGUGUGAUAAUUAAGGUAAAUUUCACCCAUCAUCCCUGAACUUAUACUCUCACAACGAUGUUGCCCUCCAACUUCAAUUUGUCUCAUAAAACUCUUCCAAUUUCAAUUCAGUGAACAUAAAAGUCAUUUUUACCGGAUUCUGAAUAUACCUCACAUGAGCAGCUUAUAUGGCACGCCCAGCUGGCACCAACCCAUUAAAAAAACUGAAACUGACAUGUUAAAAUUCUGUUUCUCUCUCUUCCCUCUUCACUCUCUCUGCCUUUUCCCCCUUCCUCUCUCUCCAUAUCUAUCUCAACCCCCUCUAUCUCUCUCCUUUUGCUCAAUCUCCCUCUUUGAUCUAAGCAUGAAAGAGAGAACACUGCAACAGAACAAGAGAAAUAGAUAAGCUGCCAUGGAAUACAGAACCACAACCUCUACUCCCAUUGAUUUGUGGCUCUCACCUCGAUCCACAACUAUGUUGACAUGCUAGCUGAUGCCAAGAAGACCUAAGAGCUUAAGUCCAACUGGUCUAAAUGCUACUCCUGCCUUGAAGCAGCACACUUAGAAUUAAACCAAAUGCAAGAUACCAUUGCAGCGUAUAAGAAGGGGCUUGAGAUUGAUCCCAUAAAAAAAUAAAAAUAAAAAGAAAAGAAGUGGAAAAUGUAAAACAGAAUUGGAACAAAGAAAACAAACUAGACUCCAGUAUAGAAAACUUGAACACAGUAUAAAGCAUGAACGUUCCGCUGCAAUCAAAGAUUGCAUAUCAAGAUGACAGCAAAAUCUUCCAAACCAACUCUACCUUGUCUCCAAAGUCAACUUGCCAACCAUUCUAACUAGAAAAUGAAAAGAACCCAACGCUCAAGAAAAGUUCUAAACUAGAGAGAAGUUAGCAAAUACUAAAUAUCUUUUUUGGAGGCUGUCAAAGGGCUUUUAUUCUCAAUUUAUAGUCAUUCUUUCUGGUUUAAUGAAGCCACUAAAUUGUUGGUCUUGGUCUAUAAUGCUCCUGAUAUUUCUGAAGUUCAGUUUAUUCUUGCACAUGCUAUUAUGGCUGCCACCCCUAUGUCUAUUGCUGAUCUGGGUUUCUUAAAUGGUAUUGAUCUUUCCUAAUUUCCAAUUUAAAAGAACAAGAAUAAGGACAAAUAGAAAUCUGUAGAUAUAUGUUUUUGCUUUCACAGUUUUGUUCUUUUGUUUUCAGUUUAAAAAAAUAUAUAAUGAAACAAUUCCUUAGUUUAAUAAAGAUUAAUCUACACAACUUUAGAAAUUGUAAAGGUCUACGGAUAUGUUGAGAUGUAAUACUAAACCCUUGUGUGGAAAAAAAA
This 1508-nucleotide unclassified non-coding RNA is filed under the name Hevea brasiliensis (rubber tree). Lineage: Eukaryota; Viridiplantae; Streptophyta; Magnoliopsida; Malpighiales; Euphorbiaceae. The record is from RNAcentral.